This 191-nucleotide ribosomal RNA is filed under the name Bacillus subtilis. RNAcentral's name for it is "partial 16S ribosomal RNA". It matches the Rfam family "Bacterial small subunit ribosomal RNA", at positions 1228 to 1418 of the family's 1533-position model. Lineage: Bacteria; Bacillati; Bacillota; Bacilli; Caryophanales; Bacillaceae. The record is from RNAcentral.
CAAUGGACAGAACAAAGGGCAGCGAAACCGCGAGGUUAAGCCAAUCCCACAAAUCUGUUCUCAGUUCGGAUCGCAGUCUGCAACUCGACUGCGUGAAGCUGGAAUCGCUAGUAAUCGCGGAUCAGCAUGCCGCGGUGAAUACGUUCCCGGGCCUUGUACACACCGCCCGUCACACCACGAGAGUUUGUAAC